This 256-nucleotide ribosomal RNA is filed under the name uncultured bacterium. RNAcentral describes it as "partial 16S ribosomal RNA". It matches the Rfam family "Bacterial small subunit ribosomal RNA", at positions 524 to 776 of the family's 1533-position model. The record is from RNAcentral.
GACAAAGGAUGCAAGCGUUAUCCGGAUUCAUUGGGUUUAAAGGGUGCGUAGGCGGACUGAUAAGUCAGUGGUGAAAUCUCUUUGCUUAACAAAGAAACUGCCAUUGAUACUGUCGGUCUAGAGUAUAGAUGACGUUGGCGGAAUAUGACAUGUAGUGGUGAAAGAUCUUAGAUAUGUCAUAGAACACCGAUUGCGAAGGCAGCUAACGAAACUAUAACUGACGCUGAGGCACGAAAAGUGCGGGGGAUCAAACAGG